RNAcentral lists this long non-coding RNA (516 nucleotides) under Equus caballus (horse). RNAcentral's name for it is "lncRNA (ENSECAG00000054235.1)". Lineage: Eukaryota; Metazoa; Chordata; Mammalia; Perissodactyla; Equidae. The record is from RNAcentral.
CUCCUGCUCACUACGGGAUGGAGCACUCCCCCAGACACAAGGAAACUGAGACAUGGAGAGGUGGAGCCACUUCCCAGGGUCACAGGGUGGGUCGUGGUGGAGCCGAAACGACGACCCAGACCUGCCAGGCCCCAGAGUGCUUGCUCUCCCCCCCUACCCUUCCCACAGUCACUUCAUUUUCCAACAGGUGCCCAUGGACCCACAGUGGAAGCGUCCAUAACGCCCAAGGCUGGCUGCCUGCCUGCCAUUCAACCCACCUGCUGGCCUGGAGCAGAGCAGUGGGCGACCAGCCAGGGUGGGAGUCAGCUCUCUGCGGCGACCAAGACAGAACCGGAGCUUGUCCACCAUUGAUGACACCAACCAGCAUUUGGCCAAGCGGGAGCAUCCCCUCCAGAAAUCCCCUCUGGGCCAGGACAGAAGUUCCUGGAAGGCCCUUUCCAUUAGCACAGACAUGCCGGGCAUCGUUCCAGGAGGCUCUGAGACCUGAGCUUUGCAAAGGGGAUGAGCAAUAAAAAU